CCUACGGGUGGCAGCAGUGGGGAAUUUUGGACAAUGGGGGCAACCCUGAUCCAGCAACGCCGCGUGUGUGAAGAAGGCCUUCGGGUUGUAGAGCACUUUUGUCCGGAAAGAAAUCGCGCUGGUUAAUACCUGGCGUGGAUGACGGUACCGGAAGAAUAAGCACCGGCUAACUACGUGCCAGCAGCCGCGGUAAUACGUAGGGUGCGAGCGUUAAUCGGAAUUACUGGGCGUAAAGCGUGCGCAGGCGGUUUUGUAAGACAGGCGUGAAAUCCCCGGGCUUAACCUGGGAAUUGCGCUUGUGACUGCAAGGCUAGAGUGCGUCAGAGGGGGGUAGAAUUCCACGUGUAGCAGUGAAAUGCGUAGAGAUCUGGAGGAAUACCGGAGGCGAAGGCGGCCCCCUGGACAAAGACUGACGCUCAGGUGCGAAAGCGUGGGGAGCAAACAGGAUUAGAUACCCCUGUAGUC
This 465-nucleotide ribosomal RNA is filed under the name uncultured bacterium. RNAcentral's name for it is "bacterial SSU rRNA". It matches the Rfam family "Bacterial small subunit ribosomal RNA", at positions 338 to 795 of the family's 1533-position model. The record is from RNAcentral.